ACCAUUAGCCUAAUGUAUCGUGU
RNAcentral lists this microRNA (23 nucleotides) under Schmidtea mediterranea. RNAcentral's name for it is "sme-miR-190b-3p". Its record names the gene sme-miR-190b-3p. The record is from miRBase by way of RNAcentral. Lineage: Eukaryota; Metazoa; Platyhelminthes; Tricladida; Dugesiidae.